ACUAUAAUCCUGCUUGAAGUUUGCUUAGAUUCCUGGGAAGUCUCCCUAUUCCAACCCUUUUUGAGAAAGGCCCACAGCUCAUAACCUACCUGAGGUUAUUUGGGUCUCAGGAAACACACAGCAUGUGCCAAUGUUCCAAGAAUGAAGCUCUGGUUCCCAGCUUCUGCUGCUCCAACUUCUAUAGCAGCAAGGAGAAAAGAGUAACAGACAUACUGAUCACAUCUAAUUAGAAGGUUUUCCUUAGCAACCUGUGUUGUGAGUGUUCUUGAGCUGUAUCUACAUAAGUCAUGGCCUUUCUCAUCAUCUGGCACUGUGGACUCAGGGAUACAGCAGACACAGCUAUCUUUUCUGGACUCAAGGUAAACCUGAAAAGAAGUAAAACAGAAAAGCAAUAUUAUGCGUGGAGACUUAAGAUUCCACCCAAGAAGGACUUUAUGAGAUACUGACCUGAUCAAUGUAGAUAGGAUGAUAGUAAGGUAACAUUCAUUUUAGGACU
This 496-nucleotide long non-coding RNA is filed under the name Homo sapiens (human). Its description in RNAcentral is "HSALNT0272241". Lineage: Eukaryota; Metazoa; Chordata; Mammalia; Primates; Hominidae. The record is from RNAcentral.